Molecule: ribosomal RNA, 522 nt
Filed under: uncultured Dehalogenimonas sp.
Lineage: Bacteria; Bacillati; Chloroflexota; Dehalococcoidia; Dehalococcoidales; Dehalococcoidaceae
Description: bacterial SSU rRNA
Rfam family: Bacterial small subunit ribosomal RNA
Source: RNAcentral
UAAUACGUAGGUGGCGAGCGUUGUCCGGAUUUAUUGGGCGUAAAGCGCCCGCAGGCGGCUUGGUAAGUUUGGGGUGAAAUCUCCCGGCUCAACUGGGAGGGUGCCUCGAAAACUGUCAGGCUUGAGGCAUGGAGAGGGAUGCGGAAUUCCCGGUGUAGUGGUGAAAUGCGUAGAUAUCGGGGAGGAACACCAGUGGCGAAGGCGGCAUCCUGGCCAUGUCCUGACGCUCAGGGGCGAAAGCGUGGGGAGCAAACCGGAUUAGAUACCCGGGUAGUCCACGCCGUAAACGAUGAAUACUAGGUGUGGGGUGUAUCGACCCCCUCUGUGCCGAAGCUAACGCGAUAAGUAUUCCGCCUGGGGACUACGGCCGCAAGGCUAAAACUCAAAGGAAUUGACGGGGGCCCGCACAAGCAGCGGAGCGUGUGGUUUAAUUCGAUGAUACGCGAAAAACCUCACCCAGGUUUGACAUGCAUGUGGUACUGAGGUGAAAGCCGAGGGACCCUUCGGGGAGCAUGCACAGGU